RNAcentral lists this unclassified non-coding RNA (390 nucleotides) under Hyaloscyphaceae sp. Iso476. RNAcentral describes it as "sequence contains ITS1, 5.8S rRNA gene, ITS2". The stretch from base 101 to 250 matches the Rfam family "5.8S ribosomal RNA". Lineage: Eukaryota; Fungi; Ascomycota; Leotiomycetes; Helotiales; Hyaloscyphaceae. The record is from RNAcentral.
AAAUAUCUGUUGCUUUGGNGGGUCGCGAGCCCUCGCCCUGUGUACCCGCCAGAGGACCAAUAAACUCUGUGUUAGUCUCUGAUUACUAUAUAAUAGUUAAAACUUUCAACAACGGAUCUCUUGGUUCUGGCAUCAUGAAGAACGCAGCGAAUGCGAUAAGUAAUGUGAAUUGCAUAAUUCAUUGAAUCAUCUAAUCUUUGAACGCACAUUGCGCCCCUUGGUAUUCCGGGGGUCAUGCCUGUCAGCGUCUUAUAACCAAUCCAGUUUGCUGGGUCUUGGGCUUCGCCCCCUGGCGGGCCUUUAAAACAGUGGCGGUUCUCUCCAUCUCUACUCGUAUAUUUUCCUCGCGAUUGGUUCUGGAGGGAUGCUUGCUAUACCCCCAUUUUCAGG